This 460-nucleotide ribosomal RNA is filed under the name uncultured bacterium. RNAcentral's name for it is "partial 16S ribosomal RNA". It matches the Rfam family "Bacterial small subunit ribosomal RNA", at positions 338 to 795 of the family's 1533-position model. The record is from RNAcentral.
CCUACGGGAGGCAGCAGUGAGGAAUAUUGGUCAAUGGGCGUAAGCCUGAACCAGCCACGUCGCGUGAGGGAUGAAGGUUCUAUGGAUCGUACACCUCUUUUAUAAGGGAAUAAAGUGUGGGACGUGUCCUAUUUUGUCUGUACCUUAUGAAUAAGGAUCGGCUAACUCCGUGCCAGCAGCCGCGGUAAUACGGAGGAUCCGAGCGUUAUCCGGAUUUAUUGGGUUUAAAGGGUGCGUAGGCGGCCUUUUAAGUCAGCGGUGAAAGUCUGUGGGUCAACCAUGGAAUUGCCGUUGAUACUGGUGGGCUUGAGUAGGUAGGAGGCAGGCGGAAUGCGUGGUGUAGCGGUGAAAUGCGUAGAUAUCACGCAGAACCCCGAUUGCGAAGGCAGCCUGCCAAGCCAUGACUGACGCUGAGGCACGAAAGCGUGGGGAUCAAACAGGAUUAGAUACCCUGGUAGUC